AUGGGCAUCUCGUUCCAAUUGAUUUUUCUAGAUUACAAUGGGAUUUGGGGGUGUCGGCAAGUUUCCAACAGAAGUAAGUUGUGUACCAGUAACAUAUGCGUUGGUAGUUUGGCAUUAAAUUGCUAUGAGGUCUACCUCUGUUCUAGAUUGAUUCACAAAGACCUGCCUGCUGCCUUCCUUCCAAAGGGUUUAGUAACAGUAUGUGGCAACGGAGCUUUUGUGCUUACUAAUCUUGCAGGCCGUGUCGUGCCACCAUUCCGUAAAAGAGACGUUGUAGCUGGCAGGAAGGGUCAGAGCAGCUUCAAACUUGUAUGUUGCGGAAGUUGUUGCCAUGCAUGGGUUGUAAAUUGCAGAGGAAUAAGCAUACGAGAAAAAUACUGUGAGGAUAUAUAUAAUCAAAAUGGUAAGUGGUGA
RNAcentral lists this ribosomal RNA (414 nucleotides) under Triticum aestivum (bread wheat). Its description in RNAcentral is "partial small subunit ribosomal RNA". The record is from RNAcentral. Lineage: Eukaryota; Viridiplantae; Streptophyta; Magnoliopsida; Poales; Poaceae.